Molecule: ribosomal RNA, 501 nt
Filed under: uncultured bacterium
Lineage: Bacteria
Description: partial 16S ribosomal RNA
Rfam family: Bacterial small subunit ribosomal RNA
Source: RNAcentral
AUUGAACGCUGGCGGCAUGCCUUACACAUGCAAGUCGAACGGCAGCACGGGUGCUUGCACCUGGUGGCGAGUGGCGAACGGGUGAGUAAUACAUCGGAACGUACCUUAUCGUGGGGGAUAACGCAGCGAAAGCUGUGCUAAUACCGCAUACGCCCUGAGGGGGAAAGCGGGGGAUCGCAAGACCUCGCGCGAUUAGAGCGGCCGAUGCCUGAUUAGCUUGUUGGUGGGGUAAAAGCCCACCAAGGCGACGAUCAGUAGCUGGUCUGAGAGGACGAUCAGCCACACUGGGACUGAGACACGGCCCAGACUCCUACGGGAGGCAGCAGUGGGGAAUUUUGGACAAUGGGGGCAACCCUGAUCCAGCAAUGCCGCGUGAGUGAAGAAGGCCCUCGGGUUGUAAAGCUCUUUUGUCAGGGAAGAAACACCGGCUCUAACACAGUCUGGGAAUGACGGUACCUGAAGAAUAAGCACCGACUAACUACGUGCCAGCCGCCGCCGUAA